GAUUAGUUUUUAGAUGUUUGACAAGUUUUAUGGUAGAGAUUAAUUUAAUCUCAAUUCAAUUGUAAGUUAAUAUUUAACUCUGCAUAUUCUACAUAUAGUCAGAUAAAUAAAUUAUUAAGAGCACUUGAUGGAUGCCUUGGCGUUAAGAGGCGAUGAAGGACGUGGCAGGCUGCGAUAAGCUGCGGGUAAUUGUCAACAAAUUCUAAUCCGCAGAUUUCCGAAUGGGGAAACCCAACUAGCUUAGCUAGUUAUUACAUACUAAGUAUGUAAAGCAAACUUGGUGAACUGAAAUAUCUAAGUAGCCAAAGGAAAAGAAAUCAAUCGAGAUUCUGUUAGUAGUGACGAGCGAAAGCGGAAAAGGCUAGUGAUUUAAGAAUAAGAAUUAGAAUACUCUGGAAAUAGUAACCAUAGAAGGUGAUAGUCCUGUAUAAGUAGAAAGUUUUUAAAUCCUUGAGUAGAGCGGGGCACGUGAAAUCCUGUUUGAAUAUGGGGGGACCAUCCUCCAAGCCUAAAUACUCCUUAGCGACCGAUAGUGAACAAGUACCGUGAGGGAAAGGUGAAAAGAACCCCGGGAGGGGAGUGAAAUAGAAUCUGAAAUCGAGUGCUUACAAACAGUUGGAGCUCUAUGCUUUUCCUACAAGAGCAAUCUUGUAGUUAGUUUGUAUUAGAGUGACAGCGUACCUUUUGCAUAAUGGGUCAGCGAGUUAAUCUAUGAAGCAAGCUUAAGCCGUUAGGUGUAGGCGUAGCGAAAGCAAGUCUGAAUAGGGCGUUUUAGUUUUAUGGAUUAGACCCGAAACCAAGUGAUCUAGUCAUGACCAGAUUGAAGGUGUGGUAAAACACACUGGAGGAUCGAACCAGUUAAUGUUGCAACAUUAUUGGAUGAGUUGUGAUUAGGGGUGAAAGGCCAAUCAAACUUGGAAAUAGCUGGUUCUCCGCGAAAUCUAUUUAGGUAGAGCGUUGUAUGUAUGUUGUUGGGGGUAGAGCACUGGAUAGACUAGGGGGAUUCAUCAUCUUACCAAAUCUAACCAAACUCCGAAUACCAAUAAUUAAUUGUACAACAGGCACACUACGGGUGCUAAGUCCGUGGUGAAGAGGGAAACAACCCAGAUCACUAUCUAAGGUCCCAAAAUUGCAGCUAAGUGGGGAAGGAAGUAGAAAAACCAUUACAGCUAGGAGGUUGGCUUGGAAGCAGCCAUCCUUUAAAGAAAGCGUAACAGCUCACUUGUCUAAAUAAGUUUUUCUGCGCCGAAAAUGUACCGGGGCUAAAGCUGUAUACCGAAGAUGUGAGUACUUGUUGAUUUCGAUCAAUGGGUGCGGUAGCGGAGCGUUCCGUAAGUCUGUGAAGGUAGUUUGAGAGGACUGCUGGAGAUAUCGGAAGUGAGAAUGCUGACAUAAGUAGCGUAAAAGAGUGUGAAAAACACUCUCACCAAAAAUCUAAGGGUUCCUACGUUAAGUUAAUCUGCGUAGGGUUAGUCGGUUCCUAAGGCGAGUCCAUAAAGGAGUAGUCGAUGGCAAUUAGGUUAAUAUUCCUAAACCUUUUAAGUGUGACGGGUUUUGUAUUUGUAUAGGUCUUAUUGGAUUGAUCUAUGCUUAGAAAAAGCUCCAGGAAAUAGCACUUAUAUUUAUAAGGCCGUACCGUAAACCGACACUGGUAGAUGAGUAGAGUAUACUAAGGUGUUGAAAGAAUGAUGUUGAAGGAACUCGGCAAAUUAUACCUGUAACUUCGGAAGAAGGGUAACCUGCUUUUAGGCAACUAUGAGUAGGUGGCACAAAAUAGGGAGUAGCGACUGUUUACUAAAAACACAGGACUCUGCAAACAUGUAAGUGGAAGUAUAGGGUCUGACGCCUGCCCGGUGCUGGAAGGUUAAUAGGAAGGGUGCAAGCUCUGAAUUGAAGCCCCAGUAAACGGCGGCCGUAACACUGACGGUCCUAAGGUAGCGAAAUUCCUUGUCGGGUAAGUUCCGACCCGCACGAAUGGCGUAACGAUUUCUCCACUGUCUCCAACAUCAUUUCAGCGAAAUUGAAUUCCCCGUGCAGAUGCGGGGUACCCGCGGUUAGACGAAGAGACCCCGUGCACCUUUACUAUAGCUUUACAUUGCUAUUAAAAAUGUGAUGUGCAGGAUAGGUGGGAGACUUUGAAGUUAUGGCGCUAGCUGUAAUGGAGUCAACCUUGAGAUACCACCCUUUGCAUUUUUGAUAUCUAACUAUGUUUCAUUAUCUGGAACUAGGACAUUGUAUGGUGGGUAGUUUGACUGGGGCGGUCGCCUCCUAAAAAGUAACGGAGGCGUGCGAAGGUAAGCUAGGGCUGGUCGGAAAUCAGCUUGAUAGUACAAUGGCAUAAGCUUGCCUGACUGCGAGGCUGACAAGCCAAGCAGGGACGAAAGUCGGUCAUAGUGAUCCGGUGAUUCUGUAUGGAAGGGUCAUCGCUCAACGGAUAAAAGGUACGCCGGGGAUAACAGGCUGAUGGUGUUCGAGAGUUCAUAUCGACGACACCGUUUGGCACCUCGAUGUCGACUCAUCACAUCCUGGGGCUGAAGAAGGUCCCAAGGGUUCGGCUGUUCGCCGAUUAAAGUGAUACGUGAGUUGGGUUUAGAACGUCGUGAGACAGUUCGGUUUCUAUCUGCCGUGGGUUAAGGAAAUUUGAGAAGAUCUGACUCUAGUACGAGAGGACCGAGAUGGAUAUACCUCUGGUGUACCAGCUGUUAUGCCAAUAGCAUCGCUGGGUAGCUAUGUAUAGAUGGGAUAAUUGCUGAAAGCAUAUAAGCAAGAAACCCUCUUCAAAAAGAUUUCCCAAUUAAGGCCGUGGGAGACUACCACGUUGAUAGGCUAGGUGUGGAAACAUGGUAACAUGUGGAGCUAACUAGUACUAAU
RNAcentral lists this ribosomal RNA (2871 nucleotides) under Wolbachia endosymbiont of Armadillidium vulgare str. wVulC. Its description in RNAcentral is "23S ribosomal RNA". It matches the Rfam family "Bacterial large subunit ribosomal RNA". Lineage: Bacteria; Pseudomonadati; Pseudomonadota; Alphaproteobacteria; Rickettsiales; Anaplasmataceae. The record is from RNAcentral.